This is a long non-coding RNA of Ictalurus punctatus (channel catfish), 891 nucleotides long. NCBI's taxonomy places the organism in Eukaryota, Metazoa, Chordata, Actinopteri, Siluriformes, Ictaluridae. The record is from Ensembl.
CGGAAAUAUAUUAAAAAUGAGUAGACGUAAAUAAAUAGAAUAGAUGAAAAGACAGAUCAGUUUGAAAGGUUCAUUAAAGGGGGACAUAUAGAAAACAUUUUCUACUGUAUAUUGGGAGAGAAAGAUUGGUAUUACCUCAACAUUGGCGGGGACACGCCCCCCCUCAAAAAGAAUACGUGGUUACGCCCAUAGUUGUAGGAGACACAGCAGCGACGGAGUCGGAGUAGGAGACACAUUUUUCCUCAGGAGUCACGGUAAGGAUGUUUAAAUAUGAUUAUAAUAUUUAUGUUUAUAAUUGUGUUCUUGUUUGCCAAUCAACAAAUCAAGAUGUUGUUCAACAAGUAAUUUUAAUCUUAAAUUGUAAUAGUAAUUCUUAACUUGUAAUUUGUACCCUCGGUUUUUAUAAAUUUGUACCCUCCGUUUUUAUAAAUCUGCUCCCUCCGUUUUUAUAAAUCUCUUCCCUCAGUUUUUAUUAAUCUGUUCGUCAUUUUCUAAUAGUAUUCUAUGUUGUUCUAGACACAGCAGACACGGGGUUUUCUUUCUUCAAUUUUAACUUUUCUCAGGAGUUUAAGGUAAGGAUGUUUAAGCGAAAUAUAAUUAUAAUAUUUAUGUUUAUAAUUGUGUUCUUGUUUUUAAACGAAUGUUAAUUAACUACUUUGUAGUAAGCAUCGAGCAGAUGCCAGCCAGUUUUAGUCAGAUAAUUAGCUAUUGCUCCCUAAUCUAAAUGAUAAUAAUCGAAGAAAAUUUUUGUUCAACAAGUUUUGUAAUCCGCGCGCGCGUUAAAGUUGGUUUAUAUCGGACAUUCGCUGUACAUUCAAGCUUCUCUAUUUCUCAUAGAAUAAACACACAAAAAGGAUACAAUGUGUAUUGUCUUAAUAAUGUGUAUUGAGU